Molecule: long non-coding RNA, 822 nt
Filed under: Rattus norvegicus (Norway rat)
Lineage: Eukaryota; Metazoa; Chordata; Mammalia; Rodentia; Muridae
Description: long non-coding RNA NONRATT018165
Source: RNAcentral
AACUCAGUUCAGGGCUCUGAGGGUAAGGGCACCUGACACUAGGUCUGAUGGUCCAAGUUCAGUCCCUGGGGCCCACAUGAUGAAAAGAGCCAACUCCUGAAAGUUACCCUCUGACACAUAGUAAUAAAAUAUUUAAAAAAUGUUACAUGAUAAUAAAAACAUUUAAAAAACAAAAUACCAAUUAAUCUAAAGAGCUGGAGGAAUGUUUAGAAAUUAUUUUUCAAAUUCUAAAACUCUAUUUACCAGAGAAAACCUAAGCACAUUAGCAACAAUGUUAACGUUCAUGUUAUUUCUGUUCCCCAGGAGUAAUGACAUGUUAGCUAUCCUGCAGCUGUAAUGAAUUAAAUGUUAAGGUCGACUUAGACACUGUUAGUCAUCAGCAGUGCCAAUGAAGGAAGCCUGGUGAUGGAAACCCUGGGCUUCCGAUUGCAGGCCUGUUAGGCUGUAUUACCUCUGUAAGCUAACGGUUCCAUGAAGUGCUGUCACGUGUGCUUUCUCGGCAUUACUAACCUGAAGAGGUGACAGAGCAAACGGGUUCAGUCCGGCCGGGUUCUGAACGGACGAGGAUGCGAGCAGUGGAGCUGGAGCAGGCGACGGUGACUUAGAUGGUGGCUGAGACUGAGGAGUCACCGAACUGGCGGACAGGUCGUCCUUCUGCUCACAGUGAUCUCUGGUGGGACAGUUUAAAGUGUCUGUAGAAGUCUCGAACACUUCUUCUUUGAUCUGGAGACUCUCGGCCUUUUUAAGCUUUUCUUUUUCUUUUGCAAUUUCUUCUAGGCCUACAAAAGUGAAAGAUGCUAGUAAAGUAAAUUAUUAUACAAC